GACGAACGCUGGCGGCGUGCUUAAUACAUGCAAGUCGAACGGAAAGGCCCUGCUUUUGUAGGGUGCUCGAGUGGCGAACGGGUGAGUAACACGUGAGUAACCUGCCCUUGACUUUGGGAUAACUUCAGGAAACUGGGGCUAAUACCGGAUAGGAGCUCCUGCUGCAUGGUGGGGGUUGGAAAGUUUCGGCGGUUGGGGAUGGACUCGCGGCUUAUCAGCUUGUUGGUGGGGUAGUGGCUUACCAAGGCUUUGACGGGUAGCCGGCCUGAGAGGGUGACCGGCCACAUUGGGACUGAGAUACGGCCCAGACUCCUACGGGAGGCAGCAGUGGGGAAUAUUGCACAAUGGGCGGAAGCCUGAUGCAGCAACGCCGAGUGCGGGAUGACGGCCUUCGGGUUGUAAACCGCUUUCGCCUGUGACGAAGCGUGAGUGACGGUAAUGGGUAAAGAAGCACCGGCUAACUACGUG
Molecule: ribosomal RNA, 468 nt
Filed under: uncultured bacterium
Lineage: Bacteria
Description: partial 16S ribosomal RNA
Rfam family: Bacterial small subunit ribosomal RNA
Source: RNAcentral